UAUCGUUUACUUACUUACCUACCUAUCU
RNAcentral lists this small RNA (28 nucleotides) under Bombyx mori (domestic silkworm). RNAcentral describes it as "ovarian small RNA-23726". Lineage: Eukaryota; Metazoa; Arthropoda; Insecta; Lepidoptera; Bombycidae. The record is from RNAcentral.